This 274-nucleotide ribosomal RNA is filed under the name uncultured bacterium. RNAcentral describes it as "partial 16S ribosomal RNA". It matches the Rfam family "Bacterial small subunit ribosomal RNA", at positions 523 to 796 of the family's 1533-position model. The record is from RNAcentral.
ACACGAACCGUCCAAACGUUAUUCGGAAUUAUUGGGCUUAAAGGGUGCGUAGGCGGCGCGGUCAGUUGGGUGUGAAAUCCCUCGGCUCAACCGAGGAACUGCGCCCAAAACUACCGUGCUCGAGGGAGACAGAGGCGAGCGGAACUGAUGGUGGAGCGGUGAAAUGCGUUGAUAUCAUCAGGAACACCAGUGGCGAAAGCGGCUCGCUGGGUCUCUUCUGACGCUGAGGCACGAAAGCUAGGGUAGCGAACAGGAUUAGAAACCCCAGUAGUCC